GCUCGUUGACCUAUAAACACACAUCUGAAUACAUACACAUAUGCACACGAAUUUAAACUCAGUUUCCACCCACAGGAACAUGCAGUGUCUCUUCCUGAACACUGCGGAGGACCCAGGCCUCUGAGGGAGGACACUGAGGACAGAGGUCCAGAUUCCCACCAUAUGCACCCACCUGGGGAAGGAAUGCUUGGGAGAAAUGAGGAUGGAUUAUCAGCCCAGCUUUGCAGCCGGCAGCGUGGAGCCCAGCCGUGAGGGUGGACUGGACCUAAGUGACUGUGCCCCAGGCCUUGGGAGCUCUGCUAGCCUGCUCCCUCCCCCGCCAUCUGCCUGCCUGCUCCAGCUCUAUCUCCACGGAGAGUGCGGGGGCCUUGGAAAGGCUGGGCAACUGAAGUUACAUCUUUGAGCACCAUGCCAGAACCUCGCAGGAAUGUGCAGCUCCCCCGCCCAGCACCCCAUGCCCUCCCUAGCCCUUGGUGACAAGGCCCUUCACAGCCUGCACAAUGGCGUCCUUGUCAAUACCAAACAUCUUCAGCAGCUCAGCUGGCUUCCCACUUCUUGGUACUUGGCCAACAGCCAGGCGGGUGACAGUGACUCCAGGUUCACCCACUACUGCAGUAGACACAGCCUCACCUAUGCCACCUGAAAAAGGAAAGCCAGAAUGUUGGGGUUCUAUGUGUGAGGCACCUGCCCGAUUACGCAGUGCUGGGGGUGGAACCGAGGACUUCCUGCACCCUAGGCAAGGACUCUGCCACCUGAGCCAGCCCCACGUCCAUUCUUCUUUGGCUGGCCUAUGUAGAUCAAGGUGACCUUGACUUCACAGACAGUCACCUCUCUUUGCCUCCUGAGUGCUGGGAUGUUGCCAUGACACUUUAGGUAAUUAAAAAAAUUUUUUUAA
Molecule: long non-coding RNA, 895 nt
Organism: Peromyscus leucopus (white-footed mouse)
Lineage: Eukaryota; Metazoa; Chordata; Mammalia; Rodentia; Cricetidae
Exons: 5
Source: RefSeq, a predicted model, not a curated record